This is a long non-coding RNA of Hippocampus comes (tiger tail seahorse), 1694 nucleotides long. RefSeq lists it as uncharacterized. The record is from RefSeq and is a predicted model, not a curated record. NCBI's taxonomy places the organism in Eukaryota, Metazoa, Chordata, Actinopteri, Syngnathiformes, Syngnathidae. The transcript has 2 exons.
CGUUCACAUCCCAACGAGUGCGUCGAAGUCGCAGCAGCAGCAGCACGUCAUGGCAAGUCUUUGCACGAGACACUGAACAGAAAGCCCCGCAACAUUUUCGCAAGUAUUUUUCACAUGAAAGAUUGUGCAUUUUAACCUGCAGAGGCAGUUGGGAGGACUAAACACCGCCCCCCCUCCUAAAAAAAAAAAAAAUGCAGCUGACAAGCUGUCAUCGUGUGAAAGGGUUCACCUGCGCCGCCACCCAUCAUUUGCCUUGCAAACCUCUGACAAGCAGAUAUGAGCUUUACAAACCAGUCGGCCUGCUUCUUCUUUUUUUUUUUUUAGAGCUUCAGUUCUGCAAGUCAUUGUCAACGCAGAGCAGAUGCCGCACAUUUCCAAUGACACAGCCUGAGCAGCUUCCGCCGAUUCAACGCCAUCAAAAAAACAGCAAAGCUCACAAUGCGAGACUGCACCGCAUUCGCACUUGCGGCCAAUUUACAAUCUUCAAGAGUCCAUUUCCUCACGUGGGAUGACGCCGUUGUACGAGGCCGACGUGCAAACCACGAACACGCCGGGCUGCGCUACACUUGAUGGACUACCCGCACUGACUGUCAGAAAAAUCAACAAAAUAUAACAGCAGGGAUACUUUUAAGUGAAAUAAAACGGUGGCUGGCUCAAGUUAACAUUUCUGUAUGCCUUUGGGGGGCUGGGGUGGGGUGGGGGGGGCAGUUAUUGGUUGCUCAGGCCGAACAGAUGGCUGCUACUCUUUGUUGCUAUAUGAGGAAGUACACUCUAUUAUUUUCAUGCCUUGGCUUUCAUAAUAAACAACACCGUGCAUUGUGUGACGCAAUCACAAUGGACAAAAGGAAAAAGGGGAAAAAAAAGGGAAAAAGGUGGCUUCGAAAAAUGCAGCAGGUUUGGGUUUUGGCAGCACUUUUUGACACACCCGUUUCUAUUGACCUUUUCACAAUGUUUGUCAGCGAUCGGUGCCAGAGUAGUUUCAGGUGGCAGGAAGUGAGUGAGCACCGCCAAUUUGAACUGAAAUGAUGACCCAGUUCGAGGUGACGGGCGAGGGGAGGAGGAUAAACGGAGUGGCUCACAAGACUGCCUGAAGGCAUAGGAGCUACUUGUGAAGGAAGAGGCAGCCAAGACAACCUCGCGGAAGACGUUUUCCUCAAUAAUUAGCCGGUCCCUCGAUGAUCACGUUAAAUAUUUGACAAUCGACGACUCUGUUGAAAGGUAAAUGACCAUCGGCGCUUCGUCUCCCCUCCAAACAAUUCACCUCGGGGAACUUCAUCUUUUCAAGGGACGUUUCGCGCAUUCCAACCGCGCGUGCGUGCGUAGCCAGAUAUUUUUCACUGGGGUGACUCGGUUGACACAACAUCUCAACACACACAGAAUCGUAACCCCCCACCCCCCCGUAAAGGAGAAGUAAUUGUUUAUCAAAGCAUCCGCAGUCAAGGCAUACCCAGAACUUUGCUCAGCACACGAGCAGGAUCAAGUGCAAAUAAAAGGCCGCGUUUUGCCGAGCUUCAUUUACGAGACAGCGCCAUUUUAUUUGCCGUUGUUUAGCGUUUAUGGACUUCCUCACAGUCUACUUCUCUCUUAUUCACUGAUUUGCAGUUGCUAGCGAACAUCCAAUCAGAGCGAGUCAUCGUCACACCGUGAUUGAUGGCCCACUCAUUCAAACGGUAUCAAAAAAGAAGCAUGCCACA